UACGUAGGUGGCAAGCGUUGUCCGGAUUUACUGGGCGUAAAGGGCGUGCAGGCGGUUUGUUAAGUGCAGGGUGAAAGCUCCCGGCUCAACUGGGAGAGGUCCUUGCAUACUGGCAGACUUGAGGGAGGCAGAGGAAAGUGGAAUUCCCGGUGUAGUGGUGAUAUGCGUAGAUAUCGGGAGGAACACCUGUGGCGAAGGCGGCUUUCUGGGCCAUACCUGACGCUGAGACGCGAAAGCGUGGGGAGCGAACCGG
RNAcentral lists this ribosomal RNA (253 nucleotides) under uncultured bacterium. RNAcentral describes it as "partial 16S ribosomal RNA". It matches the Rfam family "Bacterial small subunit ribosomal RNA", at positions 524 to 776 of the family's 1533-position model. The record is from RNAcentral.